UCCGUCGUCAACCCCGAUCGCAAAUGCGGCCGGUGUGGGCGCUUUGUUGGACCUCCUUUUGUCCUGGCUGGGCUCCGCCAGCUAGGGCCCUAUCUUCUGGCGCUCAAAAAUAUCCAAAUUAUUUUUGCACAAUUAUUUGAAGUAUUUCUUCAGAGAAGAAGAAGAGUUGUAAGGAUGUGUUCUGUCGUUUAUUUUAAUUUUCAAUUUAGGAAGCGAGAUGGGAAGGAAGAGGAAAUGUAACAAUGUGUAAUUUUUUUUGUAGUUUCUGGAGUGACCUCUCCGAUACAUCUGCUACAAGGUUUAAAAUAUUAAAUGCUUGAAGAUAUAAUUUGAUAAAAAAUGUAUUUCAAGAAAAAUCAAUACAUAGUCGUUUUAAAACAAGCACUUAAUAAUCUUGACAUCUCUGAU
This is a long non-coding RNA of Anoplophora glabripennis (Asian longhorned beetle), 408 nucleotides long. RefSeq lists it as uncharacterized. The record is from RefSeq and is a predicted model, not a curated record. The transcript is spliced from 3 exons. Lineage: Eukaryota; Metazoa; Arthropoda; Insecta; Coleoptera; Cerambycidae.